RNAcentral lists this ribosomal RNA (497 nucleotides) under uncultured bacterium. RNAcentral describes it as "partial 16S ribosomal RNA". It matches the Rfam family "Bacterial small subunit ribosomal RNA", at positions 28 to 507 of the family's 1533-position model. The record is from RNAcentral.
GAUGAACGCUGGCGGCGUGCCUAAUACAUGCAAGUCGAGCGAACAGACGAGGAGCUUGCUCCUUUGACGUUAGCGGCGGACGGGUGAGUAACACGUGGAUAACCUACCUAUAAGACUGGGAUAACUUCGGGAAACCGGAGCUAAUACCGGAUAACAUGUUGAACCGCAUGGUUCAACAGUGGAAGACGGUCUUGCUGUCACUUAUAGAUGGAUCCGCGCCGCAUUAGCUAGUUGGUAAGGUAACGGCUUACCAAGGCAACGAUGCGUAGCCGACCUGAGAGGGUGAUCGGCCACACUGGAACUGAGACACGGUCCAGACUCCUACGGGAGGCAGCAGUAGGGAAUCUUCCGCAAUGGGCGAAAGCCUGACGGAGCAACGCCGCGUGAGUGAAGAAGGUCUUCGGAUCGUAAAACUCUGUUAUUAGGGAAGAACAAAUGUGUAAGUAACUAUGCACGUCUUGACGGUACCUAAUCAGAAAGCCACGGCUAACUACGUG